AUCUGGUUUUUAGCUGAGCCUCCAACCCUGCCUCCUGUGUCGUUCUUCCUACUGAGGAAAGAAGAGGAUGCAGCAGAUCUCCCCGUUAAUCCCUAAUCCUUGUCAGGCCGUUGCAGCAGGCACUCCCGGGGCUGCGGAUGGCUCCCUACCGCGGGUUCCUGGAGAACAGCAAUUUGGCAGCAGCUGCACCUGGAAUAGUCUGUGCAUGCUCAAUAGUUGGGCAGGGGGCUUUUCCCCCAAAGAUCAGCACAGGACAGGGUCAAAGGGAUUACAGCGGGUGUUUCCUAGCAACGACAUAGGAGACAUCUACAGGAUAGAAAGUAAAAAACUGCCUAGCUGUCCUUUCAAUCUUUGCUUUCAAAUAUAUGACAAAACGUACAGAUAAAGCUGAAAUCCUCUCUAUGCUGCUUGCAAGCCUCAUGUUCCUGUCUGCCUCCCCAAAGCCACCACCACCAGGAAUUUGGAAAACAUCCUUUGACCACAAAUAUGAGCAGCCAUUGAUAACCAGGACAAGAUGAUUCAUAACGUUAACAAAUCAAAGUAACUGAGAGACAUCUAGAAUCUCAACACCUUACAGAAUGUUAUCAGGGAAUGCUACUCCCUCGAUGUCUCAGUUUGGGACUCCCUAAGAUAAGGACUUGUAUGCUCUUAGUCUAUCAGGAGAACCCAGAAAGUAAGAGUGAGGGAAGUGGGGCGGUGGGCAGUGGAAGCCAAUAUAAAUGUACAUUACUGAAACUGCUACUGAGCUUGGACAACAAGGGACAACGUCUGUCAGUACCUCACGAAAAGUGCACCAAACGCUGCCCAGAAACGCUGCCCCAGGAGGCGGGGAUGGAACCUUCAUCUGCCAGCUCCUCUUCCCCAUUGGUUGAAGAUGGCCUCAGGGCACUGACUUCCCCACACUUCAGACUAUCCCUUCCAUGAGCCAGGAAGGCUUCAGAACAGGUGCUGAAGGAAAACAGGAAAGAAACACAGUGCACACUUCCCUGGGGCUCAGUCACCCACCUAGAACUGUUGGGCCAUCUGAACCUGGCCUCCAGCUAGGACCAUUGAAGCUGGACAACAGCUAGUAGCAGGCCUCUGUCUUCCUUACACAUGAAUCUGACUUGACUAUAUGGAGUAGUGCUGCCCUGCUUCCUGAAAUUCAACGAAUGAUGGGGAGAGUAAGUUUUCCAAUUCCCACGAGCUGUCUCAGUUAGAAAAUUCCAAACAAGGGGUCGCCAUCUUUGAAGUCACCCAUCUCUUACAGCCCCAAACAAACACACACACAAUAUCAAUGCUAUUUACGCCAUUCAUCUUUCCACAUUCUUUUCUGUAUGUAGAAUAAAAGAGCAGCUGCCCAGCAGCAUGAAAAAGUCAACACCUUUCUGGGUGGCCUAUACCAGAUUACAGUUCAAGGGAAUGAGCCACAUGUAUUUCUAAAAUUCCAGCGCAUAGUAGAUGCUCAGUAAAUUUACGGUAAAGUGUUGACUCCUACUUCAUAUCUAAAAAGUCAGCUUUACUUUGCAUUACUCUUCAAAGGAUGAGUCCACAACCUAAGGUGGUUUCAUACAGUGUUCAGGUCCCUUAUUUAUCUCACUCCUUCCCAUCCCCUGGGCAGUCACAGGACAGACGAUGGGUGUGUUGUGAGAAAUAAAGGGACCCACAGCAUAGGCUCUACAUAGGGCAAAAGGCAACAGUGGGGAUUUAAUGUGAGGUGGAGGGGGAACAAGGAGUUGGUAAGGAAGAGGUCAGUAGCUCAAAGGGUGAGUGGGAGAAACUAGGAAGUGUUGUGGGUUGUUGCUGAUGAAAACUUUCCGUAUCUUCACAAUUGCUAGGAGUCUGCUGUGAUUCUCUUUAUGUGCAAAACUCCAUUCUUUCCAGUCAUCUCUCUGGAAUAAUUUCUAUAUUCAGAGCCUUCUUGUUACUUGUCAUUGUCACUCAGAUUGCUUAAACUUACAUGAUAAUCUAUUGUGUUCAGUCCAACUAUGUCAGCAUUGCCAACAUUCUGCAGGGCAGAGAACAUGUCAGCUGACUUCACUGUGGUGCCCAGCGUAUUUGCAGUUCUCAGUGAACCCAGUUAACUGCCCAUUCCCUCAACCCAGAUGGCCUUUCUUUUGAUUAAACAUAUGAGGCUUCCAAUGCCAAAGGGA
Molecule: long non-coding RNA, 2132 nt
Organism: Homo sapiens (human)
Lineage: Eukaryota; Metazoa; Chordata; Mammalia; Primates; Hominidae
Exons: 4
Source: RefSeq, a predicted model, not a curated record